Molecule: ribosomal RNA, 483 nt
Filed under: uncultured bacterium
Lineage: Bacteria
Description: partial 16S ribosomal RNA
Rfam family: Bacterial small subunit ribosomal RNA
Source: RNAcentral
AUUGAACGCUGGCGGCAGGCCUAACACAUGCAAGUCGAGCGGAUGAAGGGAGCUUGCUCCUGGAUUCAGCGGCGGACGGGUGAGUAAUGCCUAGGAAUCUGCCUGGUAGUGGGGAUAACGUCCGGAAACGGGCGCUAAUACCGCAUACGUCCUGAGGGAGAAAGUGGGGGAUCUUCGGACCUCACGCUAUCAGAUGAGCCUAGGUCGGAUUAGCUAGUUGGUGGGGUAAAGGCCUACCAAGGCGACGAUCCGUAACUGGUCUGAGAGGAUGAUCAGUCACACUGGAACUGAGACACGGUCCAGACUCCUACGGGAGGCAGCAGUGGGGAAUAUUGGACAAUGGGCGAAAGCCUGAUCCAGCAAUGCCGCGUGUGUGAAGAAGGUCUUCGGAUUGUAAAGCACUUUAAGUUGGGAGGAAGGGAAGUAAGUUAAUACCUUGCUGUUUUGACGGUACCAACAGAAUAAGCACCGGCUAACUUCGUG